GGGAAGGUAGCUCAGUGAGAGAGUGCUUGCCUUGUAUGCAUGAGGCCCUGGGUUCGAAUCCUCAGCACCA
Dipodomys ordii (Ord's kangaroo rat) is the source of this 70-nucleotide non-coding RNA. NCBI's taxonomy places the organism in Eukaryota, Metazoa, Chordata, Mammalia, Rodentia, Heteromyidae. The record is from Rfam.